CGGGAAGCCCUGCUCAAGGCGGUGCCGUGAACCAUGUCAGGCGGGGAACCGAGCAGCAUUAAGCGGAUUUCCGACUGUGAGCAGGUAACCUGCCCCGUA
The sequence is a signal recognition particle RNA, 99 nucleotides long. It matches the Rfam family "Bacterial small signal recognition particle RNA". From Rfam's summary of the family: The signal recognition particle (SRP) is a universally conserved ribonucleoprotein involved in the co-translational targeting of proteins to membranes. Archaeal SRP consists of a 7S RNA and homologues of the eukaryotic SRP19 and SRP54 proteins.